CCCCUGUAUUCUGUAUGAGAGAGAUUAUUAUGUAUUUGAAAUUUAAAGUUUUUGGCGGCUAUUUAUUGUUUAGAGGAACUUGUUUAUUAAUAGAAAUUACUCUUUGUAUUUUACUUAUUUUUGUUUAUUUAUCUUCGUUAUUAGAUAGAAAUUAUAAAAAAUUGUAUUUAUAUUUCAGAUCAAGAUGUAGCAAAAAUUAGUUUAAAUUAGUUACAUUUAUGAAAAAAUAAAUAUUUAUUUAAAAUUAUGAAUUGAAAUUGAAUUUAGUUGUAAAUUUAUUUAGAAUAAUAAUUUGAAAUUGCAUAAUUAGUGUU
RNAcentral lists this ribosomal RNA (314 nucleotides) under Eucynorta coccinelloides. Its description in RNAcentral is "partial small subunit ribosomal RNA". Lineage: Eukaryota; Metazoa; Arthropoda; Arachnida; Opiliones; Cosmetidae. The record is from RNAcentral.